GAUGAACGCUGGCGGCGUGACUAAUACAUGCAAGUCGAGCGGACGGACGAGAAGCUUGCUUCUCUGAUGUUAGCGGCGGACGGGUGAGUAACACGUGGAUAACCUACCUAUAAGACUGGGAUAACUUCGGGAAACCGGAGCUAAUACCGGAUAAUAUUUUGAACCGCAUGGUUCAAAAGUGAAAGACGGUCUUGCUGUCACUUAUAGAUGGAUCCGCGCUGCAUUAGCUAGUUGGUAAGGUAACGGCUUACCAAGGCAACGAUGCAUAGCCGACCUGAGAGGGUGAUCGGCCACACUGGAACUGAGACACGGUCCAGACUCCUACGGGAGGCAGCAGUAGGGAAUCUUCCGCAAUGGGCGAAAGCCUGACGGAGCAACGCCGCGUGAGUGAUGAAGGUCUUCGGAUCGUAAAACUCUGUUAUUAGGGAAGAACAUAUGUGUAAGUAACUGUGCACAUCUUGACGGUACCUAAUCAGAAAGCCACGGCUAACUACGUG
RNAcentral lists this ribosomal RNA (497 nucleotides) under uncultured bacterium. Its description in RNAcentral is "partial 16S ribosomal RNA". It matches the Rfam family "Bacterial small subunit ribosomal RNA", at positions 28 to 507 of the family's 1533-position model. The record is from RNAcentral.